CACAUAUAUUUGUAAGUCAUUUUUCGUUUAAAUGAUUUACAAAUAUAUGUGAUUUUUUUUAACAGGAAAAUAUAAUUUUUUAAUUUGGGAGGUACCACUAUGAAUAAGGGUACAGUAAAAUGGUUUAAUUCUGAAAAAGGAUAUGGAUUUAUUUCCAUGGAAGGCGGAGAGGAUGUAUUCGUGCAUUUUUCUGCAAUCCAAAGCGAUGGCUUUAAAUCUUUGGACGAAGGUCAGGCGGUUACGUUUGAUACCGAAAAUGGAAACCGCGGUCUGCAGGCUGCAAAUGUCCGUAUAGCGUAACCUAAAAAAGAAAAACACGCCCGCUGGCGU
RNAcentral lists this small RNA (330 nucleotides) under human gut metagenome. Its description in RNAcentral is "cspA thermoregulator". The stretch from base 38 to 330 matches the Rfam family "cspA thermoregulator". The record is from RNAcentral.